Gossypium arboreum is the source of this 968-nucleotide long non-coding RNA. RefSeq lists it as uncharacterized. The transcript has 2 exons. The record is from RefSeq and is a predicted model, not a curated record. NCBI's taxonomy places the organism in Eukaryota, Viridiplantae, Streptophyta, Magnoliopsida, Malvales, Malvaceae.
CCCUAUUGACUUACGUGGAAAAGGAAAAAUUAUAGAAUAGUCCCUUAACUUCUGCAACUAUUACAAUUCAGUCCAGCUAUUUGGAAAAUGAUAUCGAAUUUCGAUACUUGAGCCGAAUGAACGUGAGAUAGAGUAUAACCGAAUGAUGGCAUGUUAUGAGGGAUUGGAGUGGAGAUUGAUGUGGCGUGCUUUACAUAUUUUUCUUGAGUAUUUCGAGGUUCAGCAUUUGUUACGAACCCUCAUGUAUACUAUCAUAUUCUGACGUGUUAUGGGGGUGGAUGUAUAGCCUACAGGCUAGGCACGUGUUAUUUGUUGGAUUAGCUCUCAUGAUUGUUUGGCGUGUUAUUGGUUGGAUUAGCUCUUAUGAGCGUUUGGUGUGUUUUCAUUGAACUAUUUGUGUACUCGUAUCUGUAAGUCGUUCAUCAGGUCGUAAAUUAUUGUACUAUAACUUGUUUAAUGACUUUGAAUGGCAUGACAUGUACUUGACAUCUUGAAUUAACUCCGUUGUAGACAUGUAUGCUUUCCAGAAAUUAUUAUAUGAGCUUUGAAUUAAACUUGUAAUUCACUGGUUUGCAAUUGUAGAUGACAAGAAACAUUUGUUGUUGACUAUAUUUGAUUAAAUUGUUAUAUUUACUUCGGUAAGAUUUAUUAUUUUUGUCUGUUGAACUUACUAAGCUUCAAUAAGCUUACUUGUGUUAGUUUCAUUUUCUUGUAUAUAUCUUUUAGUAAAAUGGGCGAUUGGAUCAGCACUCAAGUCACACUAUCCAUCCGAUUUCAAUAGUUUUUGAACAUUUAUUUUGGAUUAUAUGGCAUGUAAUAGGUCGUUAUGUCGAUGACCUCAUUUGAUAUGUAUAUAUAUAUAUCUAUAAGGCAUGUAAUUGGUUAAUCUUUUGAUCAAUGUUGUCUUGUAAUGUGAUGAUGGUUACAUGGUUGCUAGGUUUGGUGCUGAAUAUAGUUUAUUUUGUGAA